GAUGAACGCUAGCGGGAGGCCUAACACAUGCAAGCCGAGCGGUAUUGUUUCUUCGGAAAUGAGAGAGCGGCGUACGGGUGCGUAACACGUGUGCAACCUGCCUUUAUCUGGGGGAUAGCCUUUCGAAAGGAAGAUUAAUACUCCAUAAUAUAUUGAACGGCAUCGUUUAAUAUUGAAAGCUCCUGCGGAUAGAGAUGGUCACGCGCAAGAUUAGCUAGUUGGUGAGGUAACGGCUCACCAAGGCGAUGAUCUUUAGGGGGCCUGAGAGGGUGAUCCCCCACACUGGUACUGAGACACGGACCAGACUCCUACGGGAGGCAGCAGUGAGGAAUAUUGGUCAAGGGGUGCAAGCCUGAACCAGCCAUCCCGCGUGAAGGACGACUGCCCUAGGGGUUGUAAACUUCUUUUGUAUAGGGAUAAACCUACCCUCGAGAGGGUAGCUGAAGGUACUAUACGAAUAAGCACCGGCUAACUCCGUG
RNAcentral lists this ribosomal RNA (479 nucleotides) under uncultured bacterium. RNAcentral describes it as "partial 16S ribosomal RNA". It matches the Rfam family "Bacterial small subunit ribosomal RNA", at positions 28 to 507 of the family's 1533-position model. The record is from RNAcentral.